GACGAACGCUGGCGGCGUGCUUAACACAUGCAAGUCGAGCGGUAAGGCCCUUUCGGGGGUACACGAGCGGCGAACGGGUGAGUAACACGUGGGUGACCUGCCCUCAGCUCUGGGAUAAGCCUGGGAAACCGGGUCUAAUACCGGAUAUGACUCCAUGACGCAUGUUGUGGGGUGGAAAGCCUUGUGCGGCUGAGGAUGGGCCCGCGGCCUAUCAGCUUGUUGGUGGGGUGANGGCCUACCAAGGCGACGACGGGUAGCCGGCCUGAGAGGGCGACCGGCCACACUGGGACUGAGACACGGCCCAGACUCCUACGGGAGGCAGCAGUGGGGAAUCUUGCGCAAUGGGCGAAAGCCUGACGCAGCGACGCCGCGUGAGGGAUGACGGCCUCGGUGU
Molecule: ribosomal RNA, 394 nt
Filed under: uncultured bacterium
Lineage: Bacteria
Description: bacterial SSU rRNA
Rfam family: Bacterial small subunit ribosomal RNA
Source: RNAcentral